ACGAACGCUGGCGGCGCGCUUAACACAUGCCAGUCGAGCGCUGAAAUUUCGACAGAUCCCUUCGGGGUGAAGAUGAAAUGGAUUAGCGGCGGACGGGUGAGUAACACGUGAGUAACCUGCCUUUGACAUUGGGAUAGCCUCGGGAAACUGGGAUUAAUACCAAAUGACACUAACUGAUCACAUGAUCAAUUAGUCAAAGAAAUUCGGUCAAAGAUGGACUCGCGGCUGAUUAGCUAGUUGGUGAGGUAACGGCCCACCAAGGCGACGAUCAGUAGCCGGCCUGAGAGGGUGAUCGGCCACAUUGGAACUGAGACACGGUCCAAACUCCUACGGGAGGCAGCAGUGGGGAAUAUUGCACAAUGGGGGAAACCCUGAUGCAGCGACGCCGCGUGAGCGAAGAAGGCCUUCGGGUCGUAAAGCUCUUUUAUGAGGGAAGAUAAUGACGGUACCUCAAGAAAAAGCCCCGGCUAACUACGUG
This 478-nucleotide ribosomal RNA is filed under the name uncultured bacterium. RNAcentral describes it as "partial 16S ribosomal RNA". It matches the Rfam family "Bacterial small subunit ribosomal RNA", at positions 29 to 507 of the family's 1533-position model. The record is from RNAcentral.